Sorghum bicolor (sorghum) is the source of this 1992-nucleotide long non-coding RNA. RefSeq lists it as uncharacterized. The record is from RefSeq and is a predicted model, not a curated record. The transcript is spliced from 6 exons. NCBI's taxonomy places the organism in Eukaryota, Viridiplantae, Streptophyta, Magnoliopsida, Poales, Poaceae.
ACUGCAUCUGGUCAUCACAUCUGCACGGGCCGGAACUCUUGACGAGCGUCGUGAGUGUUGCGAAACGCCAUGGUGGCCGCUCGCCCUGACGCUCCGUUGUCGACUGCCCGCGCUGCUCCAUACCGCUGUCGCCGAAUCCUCCUCUGCCGUGCUGCUCCAUGCCGUGAUGCUCCGCCAUCGAAGCCCGCUCCACGCCACCUACCCGUGCUGCUCUGUGGCCUGUGUCGCCAUGGUCGAGUCUUCCUCUACCGUGCUGCUCCAUGCCGCCUGCACACUGCCGGUGUCACUCAAUCCGAUCCCUCGGUGAAGAAGGUAUGCAUCUUGGAUAGAAGGCAGCAAAACGUCUCCCAUCAGCUGGAGCAAUCAUCGAUGGCCAAGACAGCAGGCUGAUAAUCUGCUACACCUACGUGAAGUGUUGUGCUUAUGGAGGAGGCGUCAAAGAUCACUUCUACUGCCACAAUACUAGAUGUAGAGAAAUGCAAAGGGUUAAAGUUACAAACCCACUAAUGGGAACAUCAAGAGAAAGCUAGCUAUUGUUGGGAAGGAUUUAACUUUUGGAAGUGGUGUCUACAACUGAGCAGGCCAGGCUACAACAUCGAGCUGAUGAAAUUUGACAUGGGAGGCUCUGCAGUUGUAUUCGGUGCAGCUGAAGCUUUUGGACAAAUCAAGCCUCUUGGAGUCGAGGUUGAACGCAGCCUGAACCUGCUGGCGUCUAACCCCUCCAAUACAGGAUGCAAGAUCUGUGAUAGAUUGAGAUGAGGAAGAUGGUGAAUGGACAGCCCCAUUCAUUCUUAACACCAGAGUACAAAGGAACAUGGAAGCAAAAGAAAAUCAAGAACCCCGAUUAUAAGGCAAGUGAAGGCCCCUUUGAUUGACAACCCAGGUAAUACAUUUCCGAAAAGGCAAAUUCACCUGAGGCUAAUUAACCCUGCUGUAUUUUCGGUUCAUACACCAGGGUCCACUUGAGUGUUCAGACUCAGAUUAGCAAAUGCCAAGUUGGGUAUGUGAUGUCAAUUUUUAAUUCUGCCAGGAUAUGGCAUUGCGUACUUCAGUUGUCAUUUAAUCUCUAGAACCAAAAAGCAGUUGAUAUUGUAUUCUCUCAAGUCCUCCUAUACUUUGUUAGAUAGAUCGUAGGUAAAUUCUUAGGUUAUUAUAUUUCUUUAAGCCAAUGUUGAUCUUCACAAAUAUGUUACUCGACUUCUCAAAUGCUGCAGUGAAGAUGAAACUAUUUACCACUUCUUAAAUUGUGUUGUGGCUAAAUAGAUGAGUACACUGGACAUACAAAAGAUCAUGCACCAGUUAAUUGGGAGCUUUGAGGGUAGCUUCUGAAUUUAGGGGAGGUUGAAUACCUCUGAAGACAUUUUGCUGCCAAGACGUGUGAUUUUGCAGAUGUAUAUGUCUUUGAAAUUGUUCUUUUGGCUGCCGAUUUGGUGUUGCUGGGUGCAAUGUAAGUGUUGACUGCCUUUGGUGGGAAUAUGUAGCCAUUGGAUUGGGUUUAUUCUUGCUUGGAUCAUAAAUACUUUUCAAAGAUGCUUAAUUAGUUGACAUGAAUACCUUUUAGUUAUUUAAUUUAUCUGGUUUUAUACUCCCGUAGCAUUAGCACGGGCAUUAUACUAGUAACAGAUUAAGAGAUCAAUCUGUCCAAUCAUCAAAAAUCCAAUCUAAUGCACUUUUUACCCUACUUUCCCAUCUAUUACUGUUCCUCCGUCUUCGUUGCGGUCUUCGUUGCUGUUGAUGGCCGGUGGUUCAAUGACGACAAAGCUAUAGAAAAGCUAUAGAACGACAAGCCUGGCCAGGGCAGAUUGUAGCUGCCGCAAGCCUUGAUGGGGUGCCUCCGAAACUUGUGGGGUUUUGAGUUUCGAGAGACCUUUCACUUCUUCGGGUACGUAUUGUAUGUAUCACACUCAUUACUAGAGGCACCAAGUGAAGUGUUUGUGUGCGAACAUGUUGUUAGAUGAUGACUGACCUCAAAAGUGGGCCAAGCUGAUUUUG